UUUUUUUUUUACUACAGGGGACAUACAUAUACUAAAAACUUGUUUAUCUGAUGUUCGAAUUUAACAGGACGUUCUGUAUCUUAACUGACAACACCUGCUUGCUUUUUCAUCAAAUGAUUUAACUUUCCAGAAGAAUCGCGAAAUGGGAGGCAAAGUAACCGGCCUAACCUAAAAGCAGGUGAGGCUCAUAGCAAUCAAUGGGCCUUCCUCCAAACUUGGCCUUUAAAAAAAAAAAACAACAAAAAAACCCCCCACAAAUCCCAGGAGCCUGCGCAUUAAAGCGAGCCGCGCAGCAGCUUUCCCGCCGGUUUUCUGCGGGCAGCAGCACGGCGGCCACGCCGCGGGGUGGAGCGCAUGUGGCCGUGUCCUCGCCGGAUGGGAAAGGAGGUGCCGGAAACUUUGAGCCCCGCCAGAGUACAACGUGUCCACUUAGACGGCGCUGCUACUUCUGGCCAUUGGGACUGAACAUAACCUCGGUGUGUUCCUUCCUCCACGGGACUCAGGGAUUCACAAUGGCAGUUUUUCAGGGAUCUCAAGUAAGCAAGAGAGCCAGUUACUUUGUAUCCUGCCUUCCAAGAGGAGACCCAGUCACCCCUGACAUUUUCAAAGUGGUGCUGGUGAUGGGAGGGGAGCACUGAGUCCCCAUGGGGGCAUCAGCCCAGCUGAGAAGACAGAGUGGGGUUUGCAAACCAGCCCCACGCAGAAAAAGACCUUGUUCUUCCAAGAGCCCAAAGGGGCCUGCAGUCAACAGCCCAGUCUUGGAGUGGAGGCCAGAAAGGGGCGCGGAGUGCAGAACAUCUGGAGGUUUAGGCUGCAGGCCCGGGCCACGCUGCCUGAGUCAGAGGACACGGGGUGUGUGCUGGACGGGGCGGGAGAGCUGCUGGAAGAGAAGGUGCGGGGUGGCUCUGAAUUCACAAACUCUUUCCUUCUCCACUUGAACUCUUUAGGAUGAUAUAAAAAAGCUGAGCGGUGAUGAACUUCACUGAGCAAGAGGAUGGAGAGCUGGGGGCGGGGGGAGGCUGCUGUAUGCGGAGCAGAGAGGCUGUGGACAAGGGGAGGGUCAAGAUGCUUCCCAGACUCGAGGAACGGGCCUGCGCCCAGUUGGUGGGGGCCUCUGGUGGAUUUCAGUUCCUGGCCAGAAAUCCCUGCUUUCAACCUCAGAAGAUACAAGGGGGGCUCAGCAAACCUGGCUGUUGCUCUCCGGCUUUGGCAAACUCGAGAUUUUUCCAACGCCUUGUGUUCAGCGAAACCAAAAAUGUGUUUGGCUAGAAACCCUUGUCUAAUUUUUAAACCCCUGUGCAUUUUUUACGUAAAUUUGAUCCACAUGGUUCUGAUUUAUUUUUAUUUAACUCAUCCAAUUGAAUUAGGAGCUAUAAUGAUGAAUGGGAACAAUGCUGAUUUCCAAGAAGAUUUUUGAGCCUUUUUUCUUAGAACUAAAUCACAUUCCAGGCCCCCUCCACCCCGACCAUUCAAACUACCAGACGGAUCUGGGUUUGAAAUUUAGAACCCAAAUGUGAAAUAAAGAUGCAUGGUUGGCAAAGACGAAGCUCAGCAGGGGACGUUCUCAGGAAGUCACGGUUAGAAAGCCGGGGCAGAC
This is a long non-coding RNA of Camelus dromedarius (Arabian camel), 1597 nucleotides long. RefSeq lists it as uncharacterized. NCBI's taxonomy places the organism in Eukaryota, Metazoa, Chordata, Mammalia, Artiodactyla, Camelidae. The transcript has 3 exons. The record is from RefSeq and is a predicted model, not a curated record.